This 524-nucleotide ribosomal RNA is filed under the name uncultured bacterium. RNAcentral's name for it is "bacterial SSU rRNA". It matches the Rfam family "Bacterial small subunit ribosomal RNA", at positions 533 to 1050 of the family's 1533-position model. The record is from RNAcentral.
UGCAAGUGUUAUCCGGAAUCACUGGGCGUAAAGCGUCUGUAGGUGGCUUAACAAGUCAACUGUUAAAUCUUGAAGCUCAACUUCGAAAUCGCAGUCGAAACUGUUAGGCUAGAGUAUAGUAGGGGUAAAGGGAAUUUCCAGUGGAGCGGUGAAAUGCGUAGAGAUUGGAAAGAACACCGAUGGCGAAGGCACUUUACUGGGCUAUUACUGACACUCAGAGAACGAAAGCUAGGGUAGCAAAUGGGAUUAGAUACCCCAGUAGUCCUAGCCGUAAACAAUGGAUACUAGAUGUUGGGCAGAUCGACCUGUUCAGUAUUAAAGCUAACGCGUUAAGUAUCCCGCCUGGGAAGUAUGCGCGCAAGCGUGAAACUCAAAGGAAUUGGACGGGGGCCCGCACAAGCGGUGGAGCAUGUGGUUUAAUUCGAUGCAACGCGAAGAACCUUACCAGGGUUUGACAUGAUACGUUAAUUUUUUAGAAAGAAAAAAGUGCCGUUUUGGAACGUAUACACAGGUGGUGCAUGGCU